GAUGAACGCUGGCGGCGUGCCUAAUACAUGCAAGUCGAGCGAACGGACGCGACGCUUGCUUUUCUGAUGUUAGCGGCGGACGGGUGAGUCACACGUGGAUAACCUCCCUAUCAGACUGGGAUAACUUCGGGAAACCGGCGCUAAUACCGUAUAAUAUUUUGCACCGCAUGGUUCAAUAGUGAAAUACGGUCUUGCUGUCACUUCUCGCUGCAUCCGCGCUGCUUUAGCUAGUUGGUAAGGUAACGGCUUAACAAGGCUACGAUGCGUGGCCGACCUGAGAGAGGGGUCGGCCACACUGGAACUGAGACACGGUCCAGACUCCUAAGGGAGGCAGCAGUAGGGAAUCUGCCGCAAUGGGCGAAAGCAUGACGGAGCAACGCCGCGUGAGUGAUGAAGGUCUUGGGAUCGUAAAAAUGUGUUAUGAGGGAAGAACAGAUGUGGAAGUAAAUGUGCACAGCGUGACGGUACCGAAUCAGAAAGCAACGGCUAACUACGUG
This 497-nucleotide ribosomal RNA is filed under the name uncultured bacterium. RNAcentral describes it as "partial 16S ribosomal RNA". It matches the Rfam family "Bacterial small subunit ribosomal RNA", at positions 28 to 507 of the family's 1533-position model. The record is from RNAcentral.